GAUAAACGCUGGCGGCAUGCCUAAUACAUGCAAGUCGAACGGGAGUGCUUGCACUCCAGUGGCGAACGGGUGAGUAACACGUAUUUAAUCUACCUUCUAGUGGGGGAUAACCUUUGGAAACGAAGGAUAAUACCGCGUAAGGUCUCUAUUAUCGCAUGAGAAAGAGAAGAAAGUUGCGUUUGCAACGCUAGAAGAUGAGGAUGCGGCGUAUUAGCUAGUAGGCGGGGCAAAGGCCCACCUAGGCAAUGAUACGUAGCCGAACUGAGAGGUUAAUCGGCCACAUUGGGACUGAGAUACGGCCCAGACUCCUACGGGAGGCAGCAGUAGGGAAUUUUUCACAAUGGACGAAAGUCUGAUGAAGCAAUGCCGCGUGAGUGAUGA
RNAcentral lists this ribosomal RNA (381 nucleotides) under uncultured Entomoplasmatales bacterium. RNAcentral describes it as "bacterial SSU rRNA". It matches the Rfam family "Bacterial small subunit ribosomal RNA", at positions 28 to 411 of the family's 1533-position model. Lineage: Bacteria; Bacillati; Mycoplasmatota; Mollicutes; Entomoplasmatales. The record is from RNAcentral.